Molecule: non-coding RNA, 148 nt
Filed under: Chlorocebus sabaeus (green monkey)
Lineage: Eukaryota; Metazoa; Chordata; Mammalia; Primates; Cercopithecidae
Source: Rfam by way of RNAcentral
GCCAGGCAUGGUGGCGCAUGCCUGUAAUCCCAGCUACUUGGGAGGCUGAGGCAGGAGAAUUGCUUGAGCCUGGGAGGCAGAGGUUGCAGUGAGCUGAGAUCGUGCCACUGUACUCCAGCCUGGGCAACAGAGUGAGACUCUGUCUAAA